GGAGGGCUCAGUGGUAGAACCUGUGCUUAGAAUGCACAGGGUUCUGGGUUCAAUCCCCAGUACUUCCG
Molecule: transfer RNA, 68 nt
Filed under: Camelus bactrianus (Bactrian camel)
Lineage: Eukaryota; Metazoa; Chordata; Mammalia; Artiodactyla; Camelidae
Also listed under: 2 other names
Rfam family: tRNA
About the family: Transfer RNA (tRNA) molecules are approximately 80 nucleotides in length. Their secondary structure includes four short double-helical elements and three loops (D, anti-codon, and T loops).
Source: Rfam by way of RNAcentral